UGGGCAGAUGGCGAAAUUAGGUAAACGCAUCAAAUUCAAAAUUUGACAACAAAUGUUAUGUGGGUUCAAUUCCCACUCUGCCUAU
Molecule: transfer RNA, 85 nt
Filed under: Cyanidium sp. THAL103
Lineage: Eukaryota; Rhodophyta; Bangiophyceae; Cyanidiales; Cyanidiaceae
Description: tRNA-Leu
Rfam family: tRNA
About the family: Transfer RNA (tRNA) molecules are approximately 80 nucleotides in length. Their secondary structure includes four short double-helical elements and three loops (D, anti-codon, and T loops). Further hydrogen bonds mediate the characteristic L-shaped molecular structure. tRNAs have two regions of fundamental functional importance: the anti-codon, which is responsible for specific mRNA codon recognition, and the 3' end, to which the tRNAs corresponding amino acid is attached (by aminoacyl-tRNA synthetases). tRNAs cope with the degeneracy of the genetic code in two manners: having more than one tRNA (with a specific anti-codon) for a particular amino acid; and 'wobble' base-pairing, i.e. permitting non-standard base-pairing at the 3rd anti-codon position.
Source: RNAcentral